RNAcentral lists this transfer RNA (70 nucleotides) under Reticulitermes tibialis. RNAcentral's name for it is "tRNA-Val". Lineage: Eukaryota; Metazoa; Arthropoda; Insecta; Blattodea; Rhinotermitidae. The record is from RNAcentral.
CAGGCCAUUUCUGUUAGUUGAAGUUUCAUUUACGCUGAAUAAUUGUGUCGUGCGAUUCGACAUGGUCUGA